This 403-nucleotide ribosomal RNA is filed under the name uncultured bacterium. RNAcentral describes it as "bacterial SSU rRNA". It matches the Rfam family "Bacterial small subunit ribosomal RNA", at positions 796 to 1195 of the family's 1533-position model. The record is from RNAcentral.
CACGCCGUAAACGAUGGGUACUAGGUGCUUGGGGGAGCGACCCCCUGGGUGCCGGCGCUAACGCAUUAAGUACCCCGCCUGGGGAGUACGGCCGCAAGGCUGAAACUCAAAGGAAUUGACGGGGGCCCGCACAAGCGGUGGAGCAUGUGGUUUAAUUCGACGCAGCGCGAAGAACCUUACCUGGGCUUGACAUGCAGGGGAAACCCCCGGGAAACCGGGGGCCUCCUUCGGGACCCCUGCACAGGUGCUGCAUGGCUGUCGUCAGCUCGUGUCGUGAGAUGUUGGGUUAAGUCCCGCAACGAGCGCUACCCUCGCCCUUAGUUGCCAGCGGUUCGGCCGGGAACUCAGGGGGGACAAGGAGUGCCCAAAUCUAUGAAAGAUGCCUAGAAUGUCAAGACCACUA